This 70-nucleotide transfer RNA is filed under the name Enhygromyxa salina. Its description in RNAcentral is "tRNA-Trp". Lineage: Bacteria; Pseudomonadati; Myxococcota; Nannocystales; Nannocystaceae. The record is from RNAcentral.
UAGCGCGCCCGCCCGGCGGCGCUCGGUCUCCAACACCGAGCGGAGAGGGUUCGACUCCCUCGCGCGCUGG